Molecule: long non-coding RNA, 1733 nt
Filed under: Panax ginseng (ginseng)
Lineage: Eukaryota; Viridiplantae; Streptophyta; Magnoliopsida; Apiales; Araliaceae
Description: long non-coding RNA (PGIN_LNC016167)
Source: RNAcentral
GACUGAAUUGGGUACGUUGAUAGUUUAGGUUUUGGUGUUUAAUAACAAAAAUUAUUAGUUGAAUUCUUAGUUUCAUAUUAUGAUUUUCAAAUUUUAAAAUUUCUUAAGUAUAUAUCAAAAUUUGGGGUGUUUAUGAUUUUGAUUACUUUUUGUAGUAUAGAGUAGGUGUUGUUUUGUGGCAGUGUUGAAUAAUAGAAAAUGUAUAAUAUUUAUUACUACCUUUAUCUUGUAAAAAAAGUUUUCUUUUAAUAUUUUUUUUUUGAGUAACAACAUUUGUCAUAUUUUGUGGUGCCCCCAAAAUACGGUCCAUACAAACCAAUUUUGGUCGUCAAAAUACAUACAAUAACAUAAGUUCAAAUAUUACAAGGUCGUAUAUAAUACGACACUAUUAACAUCCAAAUUCAGACAUAGCAGUAUAAAAAUACAGCAACACACAUUACAAGUCUUUGCCACACUAUUUUACAACAUAGUGAAGGCUACUAUGGUAAUUCUCUCUGACCAUCACUCCGCACCCCGGCUAGUCCCAGUUACGUUCUCAUUUUCAGAGAAGAACAAUGGAACAAAGGAAAAUGGUGAGCUCAACUAGUCGAGUAAAGAAUAUCACGACUAAGAUAAUGAAGAAUAAAUUAUCAUUAGUCUUCAACAGUGAAAAAUCUGAUAGAAUAUAACAGACAACAAGUUUUAGAUUAACAACUGCAGCGGAAAUAUCAAUCAAUUAAGAGAGUAAGAUAGAUCAUGAUGUCCACAAUCUUCUCCAGAAAGGUCAUCAUCAAUAUUUUAUCUCUGUAACACCAAUCAACAGUUCUUGUUCAUAAUUAUGCAAAUCAACAAUCCUUGGUCAUAAACACGCAAAUCAACAACUCAUCUUUGCACUACGGGCCAAAAAUAUUUAAUUGUAGCAUCAAUGAUCAUGAUAAUACCAAUCAACCAUUACUCAUUGCCACAAAGGCUAUAGAGAACUUUUAUUUUAUCCCCGCAACACCAAACAACAAUUACCUCAUUGCUACAAAAGCUAUAGAGGAUUUUAUUUUUAUCCCUGCAACACCAAACAACAUUUCCUCGUUGCCACAAAGACUAUAGAGAACUUCCACCACAAAUACUUGCCGAAAAGGCUAAAAAGAUCUUUCACCACUUGUUCUUGCCACAAAGACCAAAUACACUCACAACCACUUAGUCUUAAUGAUUAGUACAAAGAUUAAUGGUAUCAAAAAUUAACAGAAGUUGUAAGAAUAAUAAGAUAAAUGAAUAAACAUUUGAGAUUUGACAUUUAAUUUGUUCAAGUUCAAUAAUGUCCAAAUUGUCAACAUGAUGACAAAAAUGUGGAGUGAAAUUUAAGAAUGAUAUUCAAAUUUCAUAUUUCAAAGAUAACGAAUAAAAUAAGAAGGUUCAUGCAAAUAAAAGUUCAAGUGAAAUGAUAUUAGAUGAAGCGUAAACUAUUAAGGAUAUUUUAAUCCUUUAAAGAAUUUUCACAAUUUAAUGAUAAGACUAUAGAAACGAAUAUUAGUUUCUUACCAUAAUAUGGAGUAUGAAAAAAAAUGAUAUCCCUUACCAAAAUAGGGAGCAUGAAGGAAAAGUGACAUCCCUUACCUUAAUUAUCAGGUGAUUGAAUGUUGCUUUCUAUGAAUUUUAUCAACUUGAACAAUACUUGAAUUCUUACUGAUCUUCACAAGUACCCAAAAUAGCCCAACUCACUUAGAGAGAACUUAAGAAUUAUUAGAGAGUGAAAGAAGUAU